Molecule: long non-coding RNA, 765 nt
Organism: Archocentrus centrarchus (flier cichlid)
Lineage: Eukaryota; Metazoa; Chordata; Actinopteri; Cichliformes; Cichlidae
Exons: 3
Source: RefSeq, a predicted model, not a curated record
CAGCAGUACCUGACUCAUAAAGAGAGGCAGGACCAGCACCUUACUCCAUCCAGCCUUGCAGAAUCUGCAUCCAGAUAUCCAGAAAUGGAGGAUGAUGAAGAUUUGGAGAGAAUGAUGCUUUCCAUAUCCCCCUCCAAACUUCAAGGCCAGCUUAGUAAGAAAACAACCCUGACAUGCAAAGUUGUGGAAGAUGAAGAAAUGGAGAGGAGGAUGAUGAUGCCCACAGAUCCAGGCCAUCUGAGUGAGAGCAGCAAACAUACACACUCACACAUACAGACACACACUUCUCCCCUCUGUGAGGACACAUUCAAUUCAUCAAUACAUCAUUAAAUUUCCUUAUCAUGUUUUUGUACAGUCUGAUGUGGCCUGUUCCAAUGCCAUAUUCAUUUUCAUCUAUAUUCUGUAUAUCUAUUGUUUUAUCUCUCCCACUCUCUUGGUUUAAGUAAUAAAUGUUGAAAAGGUUAAACAUGUAUUUUUACUUUGCCUUCAGGUUCAGAAGUUGUCGGAGUCCAGUUGGUCAAAGGUGUUUUUCACGCUGAAUAUUAAUGAUGAUUCUGACAUGAGUCAGGAUCCGCCGUUCCACCGUUCUGUAGCGGUUUAGUAGUUUGUUUAUUUGGCCACGUUCAGGCUUGUUCUAAUGCAUGUGUUCAACUGUUUUCAUAUCACUGGAGGCAUUUAGGGUAAGUACAGAGUUUUUUUUCUUGCAUGUUUUUGUGGCUUUGCUUUAAGGGUUUGGUUUGUAAAUGAUUUAGAAGUUUGCUGUAG